This 1216-nucleotide long non-coding RNA is filed under the name Equus caballus (horse). RNAcentral describes it as "lncRNA (ENSECAG00000052208.1)". Lineage: Eukaryota; Metazoa; Chordata; Mammalia; Perissodactyla; Equidae. The record is from RNAcentral.
CCAAGCCCUGCCUGGCAUCCUCAAGAGGAGACAUGCCGCAGACCAUCUUGCUUCCAGCUCUUUCGCAAUGUGAGAAAGAACUCGUUUUCCAUUGGGAUAUUACAGCCUGCCGGGAACCUCUAAUACAAAGACAUGAAACGCACUUUGUUUCCAGCCCUUAUCUCGCCGCCUUGGAAAUUCAUCUCUAAGUCUUGUUCUACAUUGCUCUAGAGGUGGAAGUCACAAACCGCUGAGUCAUUGCCUCCAAAGGAGACAGGCCACAAAGGGUCUUGCUUCCAGCUCUUUGGGAAGGUAAGAAACAACUCGCUCUCCACAGUGCUCUUACAGCCUACCGGGAACAUCUCUCACAAAUCCUGUGAAAAGCAGUUUCUUCCCAGCCAUGAUCUCCCUGAAGUAGAAAUUCUGCUCUGCCGUGUAAUACAUUUCCCAAGAGGUGGAUGUCACAAAGCGCUGCCUGGCUCCCUUAAGAUGAGACAGGCCACAGACCGUCUUCUUCCAGCUCUUUUGCAAGGUGAGAAAGAAGUCACUUUCCCCUGGGCUCUUACAGCCUAACAUGAACCUCUCAUACAAAGACAUGAAUUGCAGUUUGUUUCCAGCCCAGAUGUCAGAGCCUUGGAACUUCUGCUAUAAGCCAUGUCCUACAUUGCUCUAGAUUUGGAAGUGACAAAGUGCUGAGUCAUUGCCUCCAAAGGAGGCAAGCCAAAAGCAGUCUUUCUUCCAUCUCUUUGGAAAGCUAAGAAACAACUCGCUCUCAAGAGUGCUCUUAGAGCCGACUGGGCACAUCUCACAAAAAGGCCUGUGAAACGCAGUUUCUUCCCAGCCCUGAUCUCGCUGAAGUAGAACUUCUGCUCUGCCAUGUCCUACAUUGCCCUAGAGGUGCAAUGCACAAUGUUCUGCCUUGGUUCCUCAAGGGGAGACAGGCCACAAAGAUUCUUGCUUCCAGAUAUUUGGGAAGCUAAGAAACAUCUGGCUCUCCCCAGUGCUCUUAUGGCCUACCAGGAACAUCUCUCACAAAUCCUAUGAAACGCAGUUUCUUUCCAGCCAUGAUCUCUCUGAAGCAGAACUUCUGCCCUGCAGUGUAAUACAUUGCCCUAGAGGUGCAAGGCACAAUGGGAUGCCUGACUUCCUGAAGAGGAGACAGGCCACAGACCAUCUUGCUUCCAGCUCUUUGGCAAGGUGAGAAAGAACUCGCUUUCCACAGGUCUCUUACAGCCUA